Molecule: ribosomal RNA, 372 nt
Filed under: uncultured organism
Description: bacterial SSU rRNA
Rfam family: Bacterial small subunit ribosomal RNA
Source: RNAcentral
CGGGGGGGGCAAGCGUUGUUCGGAAUUACUGGGCGUAAAGGGCUCGUAGGCGGCCAACUAAGUCAGACGUGAAAUCCCUCGGCUUAACCGGGGAACUGCGUCUGAUACUGGAUGGCUUGAGUUUGGGAGAGGGAUGCGGAAUUCCAGGUGUAGCGGUGAAAUGCGUAGAUAUCUGGAGGAACACCGGUGGCGAAGGCGGCAUCCUGGACCAACACUGACGCUGAGGAGCGAAAGCCAGGGGAGCAAACGGGAUUAGAUACCCCGGUAGUCCUGGCCCUAAACGAUGAAUGCUUGGUGUGACGGGUAUCGAUCCCUGUCGUGCCGAAGCUAACGCAUUAAGCAUUCCGCCUGGGGAGUACGGUCGCAAGGCUG